Long non-coding RNA from Centruroides sculpturatus (bark scorpion), 2719 nucleotides. RefSeq lists it as uncharacterized. The record is from RefSeq and is a predicted model, not a curated record. The transcript is spliced from 4 exons. NCBI's taxonomy places the organism in Eukaryota, Metazoa, Arthropoda, Arachnida, Scorpiones, Buthidae.
UGAUAAUUUUUUAUUUAUGGAAAUUUGUCUAUUUUAAUAGGUUGUUGUUGGAAUAUUUUCAAUUAAUGAAGUAUACAAAUUUUCUGUAAAAAGUUAUGUUGCAUUUGUAAUUAUAUUAUCUUACGCUCUUGUAUUCUGGAUAAUUCUUUCUUGCGGGAUCACACAUGAGAAACCAGUUUUAGUGUACUUAUUUGUAUAUGGAAGUAUGGCACUGCCCGUAUGGGUAACUUACAAAUUCAUGGCAUUUAAUUGCCUAUCAAAGAAUUGCACAUCAUAUGAAGCAUCAUUGAAUUAUUCAGAACUUGGUUCUGGCAUUAUUUCUAUUCUAUCAAGAUUUUAUGUCUUAGUUAAAUUGCUAGAUGUCUUCAGAAAUUUUGGUUGUGGAUUAUCAGACAGAGGUAAGAAAAAGAAUUUUUUUGAAAGUUUAUAUUUUCAUUUCAAAUAUAUCUCGGUAAAACUUAUGUAAUUUAUGUAACCUACUCAUAUAAUACAAGGAACUAUUGUUAAAGCAAAUUUUGUGUUAACUAUAAAAUGAGACAAAAUUAGACUUUAUUUUAGCAUUAAAAUAUAGUGUGUUCAUCUGCCUUAAAACAAUCCAUACUUACAAUGUUCUAAACUGCUAUUUCCUCAGACAUCUGGCCAGCCCCAUAAAGGUAUCAGCCUGCUGACCCUGGGACCUGGGAUUGAAUCUAGGCAGAGCACUCAAAAAUUUUUCAUUUUUAGUCUCAUCAGUAAUUGCACAUACCAAUAAAACUGUGUGACAGUUAUUUUUAAAUGUAAUAUUGUUGUUAGGGUUUGGCAAAUCUAUUUUUGAGAUUUAAGAAGUCAAGUCUAGAUUUCAAUCUGUUUAAAUACUAUGUAUUUGUUUGCUUUUAUUGAACUUUGAUGUUUGAAUGUAUCAUAGAGACUAAAGAAUCUAAUAUAAUUUUAACAAGGUUCAAAUUAAAAUAUUUUUCUUACUUUUUAUUUAGGCCUAUACAUUGAGAUUUUAUACAAUUAACUAAUUAAAAUUCAUAUCCUGUUUUGCAUAUGCAUAUCCUCUUUAAUUUAAUCACUAAAUUAUUAUUGUCGGUGACAAUACAGUUUAAUAAAACAACUUAUUACUGAAUUACUGGAAAGUAUAAUACACCUCAAUAACCUUUAUAGACCAGUAACAACAUUACAAAGCCAGUCUAAUAGGCAACUGCAUUAAUUCAAAGGAUUCCAUUAAGGUCUCCUAUUCAUGGAGGUAUUGUUAUGAAAAAACAGGCAACACUAGCAUUUAGCAUCUUUGCUAUACCUUUGUUUAUAUCUUAAUUAUUGUUUAUGGUAUAGAGAUAUUUCUAUCACUAUGGUAACAUGCACAGCUAAAAGUUAUCUACACACAUUUAAAUUGUUCUGCAGUUUUAAAUAAUUUUUAAACUUGUUGUUCCAUUCAUUCCAUGUUUGAAUCUUACUAGUUAAAAAAAACCUGAUGACAACUCUGGUUUACGGUCAAAAACGUUACUUUUCAUUAAAUGUUCGUUGUUACUGGUCUAUAAAAGUUAUUGAGGACAAUGCUGUUUCGUAACUGUCUCAAAUGUGUUUAAAAUGAAUCACUAUUAUCUUAAACAGAAAUAAAUUAAUUAAAUAUUUAGAAAAUUUACUGUAUAUAUGCAUAGAUAGAUUAAAAAAUAUAUUGUUUAACAUAGUUUGUUUUUUUGACUUUCUUCCUUGUUGCACUAAAAGGACAAAGGCCAGGCCCAGGGUUGGCUAUGUGAGGAACAGGCUCCAACUUAUGCAGGGCAGAUCACACAUGAAAAAUUCCUAGGGAAUUGAUUGUCCCAGACUAGAACCUAAGUCUCCAGAGUGGUAGGAUUACACCUUAACUGCCUCAGUCAUUUGGCUGUCAAGCUCCUUCUGACUUUGGAAUUCUUUCAGGCAUCUCAAACUUUUGAUUUCAUUGGCAUUUUCUAUUUUUAUCAAAUCUUUAAAUAAACAAAUAUAACAUGAGUAUGCAUAUUUUGAAACAGUGUUAGCAGACUUGUGAAAAACCAUUUUUCUGAAUCAGCAUACAAUAUUUUUUUUUGAUUCAGGCUAUUUUCAACUUUUUUAGUACAGUACGUCUCAAAUCAACUUAAUAGCCUUACACAACAAAAUUUUUAUGUCCAGUAUUGUAGAUAUGAUGAUACAACUGCAAGUUACUAACUACAUUUGUAUCCUUACAUCUUUAAUAAUUCUUUGACAAUCAAUGACCAAUGAUUUCUAUUUAAUGCUGUUAAAAUAUACAAAGUUUGGAUUCGGCCUUAUCAAGUUUUAUAUCAAGUCAGAGUAAAUGAAAGGACUCUACGAGUCCGAGUACUCGGACCUGAAAAACACUAACUGUUGUAAAGGGCUUUAAAUGCUCUAAGUAACAAUAGCUUGUAGUUAAACAUGGCUAAACUUAUAAUUUAGGGAUCAGAUUCUCAAAUGUUUUUUAACAUAAAACAUAAUAUCUAUGAUAUGAUAUUGUAAAAUUACUAGAAACUUGCCUUUAUAUAAUAUCCAUUCUAUAUGUUUUAUGAAUAAAAUAUGAUAUCUUAGUAUUCAUGACAAAGCAAAAUAUCUGAAAACAUAAGUGGUCAUUAAGUUUUAAUAUAGCCAAUCAGUUUGCUUCUCACAUGUUUGCAUUGUUUGAAAAAAGAGUAAUUGAUUUCUAUUUUAAACCUGAUUUUUAUUCAACUGAACUAAAUAAAGGUGAUAGAAGGCCAAGUGUUUGAAU